This 497-nucleotide ribosomal RNA is filed under the name uncultured bacterium. Its description in RNAcentral is "partial 16S ribosomal RNA". It matches the Rfam family "Bacterial small subunit ribosomal RNA", at positions 28 to 507 of the family's 1533-position model. The record is from RNAcentral.
GAUGAACGCUGGCGGCGUGCCUAAUACAUGCAAGUCGAGCGAACAGACGAGGAGCUUGCUCCUCUGACGUUAGCGGCGGACGGGUGAGUAACACGUGGAUAACCUACCUAUAAGACUGGGAUAACUUCGGGAAACCGGAGCUAAUACCGGAUAAUAUAUUGAACCGCAUGGUUCAAUAGUGAAAGACGGUUUUGCUGUCACUUAUAGAUGGAUCAGCGCCGCAUUAGCUAGUUGGUAAGGUAACGGCUUACCAAGGCGACGAUGCGUAGCCGACCUGAGAGGGUGAUCGGCCACACUGGAACUGAGACACGGUCCAGACUCCUACGGGAGGCAGCAGUAGGGAAUCUUCCGCAAUGGGCGAAAGCUUGACGGAGCAACGCCGCGUGAGUGAUGAAGGUCUUCGGAUCGUAAAACUCUGUUAUUAGGGAAGAACAAAUGUGUAAGUAACUAUGCACGUCUUGACGGUACCUAAUCAGAAAGCCACGGCUAACUACGUG